This 253-nucleotide ribosomal RNA is filed under the name uncultured bacterium. RNAcentral's name for it is "partial 16S ribosomal RNA". It matches the Rfam family "Archaeal small subunit ribosomal RNA", at positions 474 to 727 of the family's 1478-position model. The record is from RNAcentral.
UACCCGCAGCACAAGUGGUGGUCAUUAUUAUUGGGCCUAAAGCGUCCGUAGCUUGCGUGUUAGAUGCCUGGGUAAAUCGAUGCGCUUAACGCAUCGACUUCCGGGUAGACCGGCAAGCUCGAGACCGGGAGAGGUGUAGGCUACUCGAGGGGUAGGGGUAAAACGCUGUAAUCCUUCGGGGAGGACCAGUGGCGAAGGCGCUACACUAGAACGGCUCUGACUGUGAGGGACGAAGCCCUGGGGCGCAAACCGG